RNAcentral lists this unclassified non-coding RNA (200 nucleotides) under uncultured fungus. RNAcentral describes it as "sequence contains ITS1, 5.8S rRNA gene". Lineage: Eukaryota; Fungi. The record is from RNAcentral.
ACAAAUUCUGAAUUGUUUGCAAAAGGGUGUUUACGUGAAUGGUGCAGUUCAUUUGGAGAGGAAUUCAUUUCUGAUUCAUCUGAUGCUGUUGUUCAUUGCACGUGCAUUCUUGCAACAAUACACACGUUCCAUGUGCAUUCACUUGUGCAUGACAACAUUUCUACGAAUCAUCUGAUUGUCACAUAAUCUAAUUAUAUUAA